This 1400-nucleotide long non-coding RNA is filed under the name Phasianus colchicus (ring-necked pheasant). RNAcentral's name for it is "lncRNA (ENSPCLG00000008159.1)". Lineage: Eukaryota; Metazoa; Chordata; Aves; Galliformes; Phasianidae. The record is from RNAcentral.
UGACAAGUGGUUUCUUCAAACCUCUGUGCUAAACUGAAAGGCAGUUAUCACACGCAUGUCAUACAGAAAACAUAAUUGCUUGUUAAAAACAUGUCCUGCCACAGACACCAUGUACCUGCUUCCCUGUACCAUUGUCACUUCUGCAUUUGGAGGUGUGUAUAGGCAGUCACUAAUUCACAGGAAUUGAAAAUGGCCUGCUGGAAUGAUCUGGUGCCUACCAUCUCCUAGUCCCUGCCAGGCCUUGCCUCAGGAAAGCUGUGCCUGGAAACUUCCUAACAAAUAGCAAACAACCUUAGAGCUGCUAGCAGGAGGGAAACUGUGUUAGCAACCAUAUCACCGUUAAGUUUAACACUGUGAUCAGGUGAAAGUAGGUUGAAUAGGUUCAGUGUGUAGAUACUCAAUUUUUUGGAAGGGACUUUGAAGAAUUGUGGGACUUCUUUGUACCGUUUCCACCAGCUACCUGCAGAAGAGACGACAAAUGAGAUCACCCACACUCAGAUGAUACCAAGCUUUUUCCAAGUAGCUAAAUUCCUCUGGCCCACAGUGACACAGCUAGGAUGAAGGGCAGCAUAGGAGAUUCCAGCAUGGAGAAUCAUACAGAAAUGAGUCUAUGCUGAGCUCAGUAAGCUGGGAGGGCAUGGCUGACAGGGCCCUGUGCAGGCAGAGCACUGAGGUGGGCUGGGCUCCGCAGCCCUUCAGUGCUUGGGGCCUCACCAGAGGAGCGAAAGCCAUUCUUGCACUGCACUGCAAGAAGGAAGAGAGGGUGGGAUUUUGCUCAGGUGUAUUUGUGUCUGAAAAUGGAGGAGGCAGCCCAGAAGAUUGGAAAAGAAUUUGGGCCUGAAUCUUACAGUACAGAUACUGCUGAGGUGGAAGCUGGCUGGGCUCAUCCUGAGGACCUGGGUGGGAGAGGCUGCCUCUCAGCCCAGAAGGCUGCAGUGGGCUAUGUGGACACCCCUGUUUGCUGUUGGUGGUGUCUUCUCUGCACAGGUUCUCCCUGAGCCGCCAGGACUGAGGGAGCAGCUGGUCGAGCAGUGUCAGCCACCUUCAGGUUCUGGAUAUAAUUUGUCUUCUCUGUGUGGUCACACCCUUUCCAGAGUUAGCUCUGACAGUCUCUGGAGGAAUUUGAGAAGUGUGAAGGUUGGAAAUGAAUCAGUUAUGCAUCAGCUACAUUUCAUACUCUUGUCCUGAGAGUAAAGCAGUUAUGGGCUGGGCUCCUUGUUCCAGAAUGACAGUGAUGUGUUCCAAAUAUACAGUGGAGACAUCCUGGGAAUGCUUAUGAAGAGCUCAGUGCAAACCUCAUCCCACCACACAUACCCACCGUUGCAAAGGGAAAAGGUAUUGUAGUAUUUCUUCACCAUUACAAAAAGAAGGGAGAAUAAAUAUUCUGAUGCCAUUGUACA